CCGCCCACCGUUGCGACCCCUGAAUUCAUUCAUUCUUCAACCGGGGCUCGCCCGUGUCGGGUGUUCGUGACCGUGCCGUUCUCGCGAGUUUACGUGGAAAAAUAUAAACAAAUUGUUGAUCGCCAUUUCUGGACACCAUAACUUAAGAUGAAAUAAAAGCCCUUUCAAAAAUAGUGUUACCAAUAUAAACGUAAAAAAUAAAUAAAAUAUAUUUACAUUUUUAAAAUAAAUCCAUUGACAAUAAACUAGGCCAAAUCGUAGUUUCAAAAAUAGAAUCUAUUUAAAAAAAAAAUUCAUAUUUACUUUAUUAAAAAAAAUAACGGUUAAAAAUCGAACUAGUGAUUGCAAUUAAACAAUUAUUUUUCUAUCGAUUGUUUCGAGUAUCGAUUAUAAUAAAAAAAAAUAUAUCGAUAGUUUCAAAUAUCGAUUACAAAGUAAUAACAAAUUAAAAUUAAAGUGAUAUUUUUGUGGAUAAAAUUUUUGCUAAAAUGAGUAUCGAUUCAAAUUCGUCGGCCAAUAAACGGUUUAAUUUGGAGAGGGCUACUAACUUCAUGAGGCAGUUCCGUGACCCUGAUUCUCGAGAAUUGAAGAAGUUAUCAGCAAACCAGUUCAUGGAGGUCUGGAGCCAUUACGACAGGGACGGUAAUGGCUACAUCGAGGGAACUGAAUUGGAUGGUUUCCUCAAGGAGUUUGUAUCCAGUGCCAACUUCACCGAUAUAAGCCCUGACGUGA
Molecule: long non-coding RNA, 732 nt
Organism: Spodoptera frugiperda (fall armyworm)
Lineage: Eukaryota; Metazoa; Arthropoda; Insecta; Lepidoptera; Noctuidae
Exons: 3
Source: RefSeq, a predicted model, not a curated record